UUGGAACUAGAGUUACAGACAGUUG
This 25-nucleotide non-coding RNA is filed under the name Cricetulus griseus (Chinese hamster). The record is from RNAcentral. Lineage: Eukaryota; Metazoa; Chordata; Mammalia; Rodentia; Cricetidae.